Molecule: ribosomal RNA, 497 nt
Filed under: uncultured bacterium
Lineage: Bacteria
Description: partial 16S ribosomal RNA
Rfam family: Bacterial small subunit ribosomal RNA
Source: RNAcentral
GAUGAACGCUGGCGGCGUGCCUAAUACAUGCAAGUCGAGCGAACAGACGAGGAGCUUGCUCCUUCGACGUUAGCGGCGGACGGGUGAGUAACACGUAGUUAACCUACCUAUAAGACUGGGAUAACUUCGGGAAACCGGAGCUAAUACCGGAUAAUAUUUCGAACCGCAUGGUUCGAUAGUUAAAGAUGGCUUUGCUAUCACUUAUAGAUGGACCUGCGCCGUAUUAGCUAGUUGGUAAGGUAACGGCUUACCAAGGCAACGACGCGUAGCCGACCCGAAGGAGUGAUCGGCCAGACGGGAUCUGAGACACGGUCCAGACUCCGACGGGGGGCAGCAGUAGGGAAUCUUCCGCAAGGGGGGAAAGCCUGACGGAGCAACGCCGCGGGAGUGAUGAAGGUCUUCGGAUCGUAAAGCUCUGUUAUUAGGGAAGAACAAAAGUGUAAGUAACUGUGCAGGUCUUGACGGUACCUAAUCAGAAAGCCACGGCUAACUACGUG